CCUACGGGAGGCAGCAGUGGGGAAUAUUGGGCAAUGGGCGAAAGCCUGACCCAGCAACGCCGCGUGAAGGAAGAAGGCUUUCGGGUUGUAAACUUCUUUUGACAGGGAGGAGCAGAAGACGGUACCUGUCGAAUAAGCCACGGCUAACUACGUGCCAGCAGCCGCGGUAAUACGUAGGUGGCAAGCGUUGUCCGGAUUUACUGGGUGUAAAGGGCGUGUAGCCGGGCUGACAAGUCAGAUGGGAAAUCCGGGGGCUCAACCCCCGAACUGCAGUUGAAACUGUUGGUCUUGAGUAUCGGAGAGGCAGGCGGAAUUCCUAGUGUAGCGGUGAAAUGCGUAGAUAUAUGGAGGAACACCAGUGGCGAAGGCGGUCGGCUGGCCUGUAACUGACGCUGAGGCACGAAAGCGUGGGGAGCAAAUAGGAUUAGAUACCCUAGUAGUC
RNAcentral lists this ribosomal RNA (442 nucleotides) under uncultured bacterium. RNAcentral's name for it is "partial 16S ribosomal RNA". It matches the Rfam family "Bacterial small subunit ribosomal RNA", at positions 338 to 795 of the family's 1533-position model. The record is from RNAcentral.